This is a ribosomal RNA of Lepisosteus oculatus (spotted gar), 119 nucleotides long. NCBI's taxonomy places the organism in Eukaryota, Metazoa, Chordata, Actinopteri, Semionotiformes, Lepisosteidae. The record is from Ensembl.
GCCAGCAGCCAUAUCACCCUGCAACUCACAACUGGCAACCCACUGAAGCUAAGCACGUGUGAGCCUGGUCUGUACCUGGAUGGGAGACCUCCUGGGAAAAACUAAGGUUGCUGCUGGUA